RNAcentral lists this unclassified non-coding RNA (288 nucleotides) under Hevea brasiliensis (rubber tree). Lineage: Eukaryota; Viridiplantae; Streptophyta; Magnoliopsida; Malpighiales; Euphorbiaceae. The record is from RNAcentral.
ACCAAUGUGCCUUAGGUUGGACCACAUUUUCAUUUUACAUUUUGGAAAAGUGGGAUUCUUGUUUUGGUAUCUUAUCUCAUAUGAAGUUCUUUCAACCUCUUGAUCUGAGUUGAUUUAUGUUAUGGGUGCUAUAUGCAUGUUUGUUUUGUAUGUAAUACUUGGGGUUUAUAUUUUCCUGCGGUGGUCUCUCAACUUUUGAGCACCACUGUGUUGAGAGUUGAUAUUUGAUCUGUGGUGUAUCUUUAAGAGCCUGAUCCCUUCUCAAAAUUCUAUUGUUCUCCAUCUGAA